This 301-nucleotide unclassified non-coding RNA is filed under the name Glomeraceae sp. Its description in RNAcentral is "partial contains 5.8S ribosomal RNA and internal transcribed spacer 2". The stretch from base 1 to 71 matches the Rfam family "5.8S ribosomal RNA", at positions 84 to 154 of the family's 154-position model. Lineage: Eukaryota; Fungi; Glomeromycota; Glomeromycetes; Glomerales; Glomeraceae. The record is from RNAcentral.
GUGAAUCAUCGAAUCUUUGAACGCAAAUUGCGCUUCCUAGCAUCCCGGGGAGUAUGCCUGUUUGAGGGUCAGUAUUAACAAAAAAUCGGGUUGGGUGCAGAGUGUGAGGUUUCGGGAGUUUGGGCUUAUCUUUACUUUUAUGGUUAAGGGGCAUAAAAGUGAGCUGUUUAGCGCAUUUUUAGACGUACAUAAGUUUUUUUUUAUUCGUCUAUGAUUAAUGCCAAAAUCUUAUUAGGUGCGGUCAGGUCGUGUGGCUGCGUGUCCAUAAAAUUUUCAUGAUUUGACUUCAAAUCAGUUAGGA